This is a long non-coding RNA of Homo sapiens (human), 230 nucleotides long. Ensembl annotates it as long intergenic non-protein coding RNA 511. The record is from Ensembl. NCBI's taxonomy places the organism in Eukaryota, Metazoa, Chordata, Mammalia, Primates, Hominidae.
ACUGGAAAGGAAGAAAUGACCGAGGGAGAAGGGAGGGCAUUUGAGGGGAGAAGAAGAGGAUGGAGAAAAAAACUGGAUCAUCUCGUGACAUGGAAAGAAAGGUAUUUUUCCCUCUCCACCCUGGUCUUCUCCUGUAACGUGUGGCCGCCUUUUCCAGCACGGCCUCCUGCCUUCCUGGUGCACUUUUUGGAGAACGUGGUGGAAUCAGAGGUUUCUGGCUGACUCGGUGG